GCCAGGUGUGCAGUGUGCACCUGUAGUCCCAGCUACUUGGGAGGCUGAGGCAGGAGAAUCGCUUGAACCCAGGAGGCCGAGGUUGCAGUGAGCCAAGAUCGCACCACUGCACUCUAGCCUGGGCAACAGAGUGAGACUUUGUCUCUA
Unclassified non-coding RNA from Papio anubis (olive baboon), 147 nucleotides. It matches the Rfam family "Metazoan signal recognition particle RNA". Rfam says of the family: The signal recognition particle (SRP) is a universally conserved ribonucleoprotein. The record is from Ensembl. Lineage: Eukaryota; Metazoa; Chordata; Mammalia; Primates; Cercopithecidae.